AGCGAACGCUGGCGGCAGGCCUAAUACAUGCAAGUCGAACGGCUUCUUCGGAAGCAGUGGCGGACGGGUGAGUAACGCGUGGGAACGUGCCCUUUGGUACGGAACAACUGAGGGAAACUUCAGCUAAUACCGUAUGUGCCCUUCGGGGGAAAGAUUUAUCGCCAUUGGAGCGGCCCGCGUUAGAUUAGCUAGUUGGUGGGGUAAAGGCCUACCAAGGCAACGAUCUAUAGCUGGUCUGAGAGGAUGAUCAGCCACACUGGGACUGAGACACGGCCCAGACUCCUACGGGAGGCAGCAGUAGGGAAUCUUGCGCAAUGGGCGAAAGCCUGACGCAGCCAUGCCGCGUGAAUGAUGAAGGUCUUAGGAUUGUAAAAUUCUUUCACCGGGGACGAUAAUGACGGUACCCGGAGAAGAAGCUCCGGCUAACUUCGUG
RNAcentral lists this ribosomal RNA (433 nucleotides) under uncultured bacterium. Its description in RNAcentral is "bacterial SSU rRNA". It matches the Rfam family "Bacterial small subunit ribosomal RNA", at positions 29 to 507 of the family's 1533-position model. The record is from RNAcentral.